RNAcentral lists this ribosomal RNA (435 nucleotides) under uncultured bacterium. Its description in RNAcentral is "partial 16S ribosomal RNA". It matches the Rfam family "Bacterial small subunit ribosomal RNA", at positions 29 to 507 of the family's 1533-position model. The record is from RNAcentral.
AACGAACGCUGGCGGCAGGCUUAACACAUGCAAGUCGAACGCAUGCCUUCGGGCAUGAGUGGCAGACGGGUGCGUAACGCGGGGGAACCUACCCCUUGGUACGGGAUAGCUCCGGGAAACUGGAGAUAAUACCGUAUGUGUCCUGAGGGACAAAGAUUCAUCGCCAAGGGAUGGGCCCGCGUCGGAUUAGCUAGUUGGUGGGGUAACGGCCUACCAAGGCGACGAUCCGUAGCUGGUCUAAGAGGAUGAUCAGCCACAUUGGGACUGAGACACGGCCCAAACUCCUACGGGAGGCAGCAGUGGGUAAUAUUGGACAAUGGGCGCAAGCCUGAUCCAGCCAUGCCGCGUGAGUGAUGAAGGCCCUAGGGUUGUAAAGCUCUUUCACCGGUGACGAUAAUGACGGUAACCGGAGAAGAAGCCCCGGCUAACUUCGUG